Long non-coding RNA from Arabidopsis thaliana (thale cress), 251 nucleotides. RefSeq annotates it as other RNA. The transcript has a single exon. NCBI's taxonomy places the organism in Eukaryota, Viridiplantae, Streptophyta, Magnoliopsida, Brassicales, Brassicaceae. The record is from RefSeq.
CAACUCGACUCCUCUCUUGUCUUUCCGUAACAUUUGUGAUUUCAAUUUCAAUUGCUUUACGUAGUGUUUGCUAAUUUUAGCUCCUACAGUCUUAACCCUUUGAAUCCGUUUUGUUCUAUAAACAUUAACAGAUUGGAAUUGGAAUUUUAUAAACGUGGGAAGCUUGUGAGUGUGUACAUUGAGUUUAUUGGUUGCGAUUGGUAAACGUCAAACUCAUUGUGACGAGUGGCGAGGCUCGACUUGGUUGUUCU